Molecule: ribosomal RNA, 301 nt
Filed under: uncultured bacterium
Lineage: Bacteria
Description: partial 16S ribosomal RNA
Rfam family: Bacterial small subunit ribosomal RNA
Source: RNAcentral
CAGUAGCCGCGGGAAUACGAACCGUGCGAACGUUAUUCGGAAUUACUGGGCUUAAAGCGCGUGUAGGCGGGCCGGCACGUCCGACGCUGAAAUCCCCCGGCUCAACCGGGGAAGUGGCGGGGAUACGACCGGCCUCGAGGGGGGUAGGGGGACCUGGAACUUCCGGUGGAGCGGUGAAAUGCGUUGAGAUCGGAAGGAACGCCCGUGGCGAAAGCGAGGUCCUGGACCCUUUCUGACGCUGAGACGCGAAAGCCAGGGGAGCGAACGGGAUUAGAGACCCCCGUAGUCCCUGUCUCUUAUU